Molecule: unclassified non-coding RNA, 4109 nt
Filed under: Neodiprion pinetum (white pine sawfly)
Lineage: Eukaryota; Metazoa; Arthropoda; Insecta; Hymenoptera; Diprionidae
Description: uncharacterized LOC124224923, transcript variant X1
Source: RNAcentral
UACUUCGCAACCUUCCCGCACGUGCGCGCAGGAUGCUUAUACCCUAUAUAUUACAUACAAUAAUAGCGGGAACCGGGGAAGCUUGGGCAUCCCAGUAAAACGUGUAAAGAUAUUGUCGACGACAUUUUAUCAGCCGUAAGACGUACACGCGGUGCUGGAAGGAAAACAAAAAGAAACACAAUACUUCAUUUCACAGAUUAAGUGUCGUUUCAAAUUAUCUUUCAAAAUUAAUGCACAUAUGGAGACCUGCAUGUCGGGUUCAAAUGUUGACAUAUAAUACAAUAUUACCUAUAUUAGCUCACUUUUUAAGUUAAACUUUUGGCCAUUGCUAUUACUUUUACGUACGAAAGUGAUAUUUCGUCAAAUUUCAAGUCCCGUAAUUCUCAAAGAUUUGUAUUUGUUGCCUCUACUAUAACUAUAUAUGCAAUAUUAUUAAUAAUUUCUGUAGCUUGUCUAUAUACAUGCCUGAAUCAUGAUUAGGCUGAAACGAAACCCCUUUAGUCAACUCACACAAAGGCAACGGCGUAAUCGUUUAAAUGACCGUAGAAUGGCGAGGCAUGCCGAUGCUAAUCCUUAUUUACGUUGCAAUAUCGUCAAUAAUGAUAGUUCUGAGGAAAUAUCUUUGAAUAAUGGAAACGUCGUAGCAUCUAUUUUACCAAAUGACAGUCCUCCUCACGAACCGCAAAGUUCGGUUACUUGGAAUAACUUAGCUCACGAGGCGAAAGAUAAUUCUUCCGAAUAUGAGUGUUCAGAUUCAGAUGCUAUCUGUGAAGACGAUAGUAACAGUCAGUCUAUGGGUGAAGAAGGCAGUAUUCGAUUAAAAAAUUGCUUUCGAACACAGUUAGCUGAUUGUUUUAUUGAGAAUAACAUCAACAAUGUCCAGGCGAACUCAAUACUUACAGUUCUCAGAUCACAUCGCUGUUUGGCCUCUCUUCCACAAGAUGUAAGAACAUUGAUUGGGACUUGCAAUCGUCGCGUUGAAUUGAUUGAUGUUGAACCCGGAAAAUAUUGGCAUGUAGGUUUUGUUGCUGGAAUUUUAAAAGAACUGUCGAAACACACAUAUGCCAUACCUAAUAUCUUAGAAAUCGAUGUUAGUACUGAUGGAGCUGCUGGUGCAAAAGACGGUUCAACUCAGUAUUGGCCUAUCCAGUUCCGAAUAAUAAAUAUUCCUGAUAGCUCUAUACUUAUCGCAGGUGUCUAUUAUGGGAAGGGUAAGCCAAGAGACCCGAACAAUUUCUUUAAAAUGUUCACAAAUGAAGUCCAAGAGGUUUUCGCCAGCGGUGGUAUCCAUUUCAAGAAUCAUUUAGUAAAAAUAAAAUUCAGAUGCUUCAUAGCUGAUGCUCCGGCUAGAGGUUUUAUAUUAAACCAUAAAGGACACAUGUCUUCAAAACCGUGCUCUAAAUGCAAAGUUAUAGGCUCAAGGUUCGAAGGUAGAAUGAUAUUCCGAGGUACUGACCACCGUUUGCGAGCUGACAUAGAAUACGACCAGGAACUUGAAGAGGAUCACCACAAGGAGGGAGGCAGCCCUCUCACUCUUCUUAGAAUAGGUAGGGUAACAGGUGUACCAUAUGAUGAAAUGCACCUUGCAUUCUUAGGGGUAAUGAAGAAACUGAUCGAAGCAGGGGUUGACGGUAAGUUUUCUCGUGCUGCAAAGUGGUCAGGCCGACAAAUCAGUGUAAUAUCUUCACGUCUAAAAGAUAUUGGAAAACUAUGUCCACGAGAGUUCUCACGUCCUCCUAGGCCAAUUUCUGAAUUCAAACGCUACAAAGCAACUGAGUUUCGCCAGUUCCUCUUGUAUACUGGCCCUGUCGUGCUAUAUGGUGUAUUAGAACCUGACUACUACCUACACUUCCUGCUUCUUCAUAUAGCUAUUCGCAUACUUUCAACUUCGUCCGCAUCACCUGAAGAUCUUUUAUUCGCAGAAUAUGCUUUGAAAUUGUUCGUCACAUCUGCAGAAGACUUAUAUGGCCCAGCAUUUCUGAGUUACAAUGUACAUGGUCUGUUGCAUCUGGUUGACGAUUACCGACGAUUUGGUGUUCUAGAUUCAUUUUCCGCUUUUCCAUAUGAAAAUAACAUGCCUAUCUUUCGUAAAUAUGUAAGGAACCAACAUUGUCCUCUUCAGCAAUUUGCUCGGCGACUGAUGGAGCGUGAUUGUUAUACAACAUUUAAUAAAGUAUCCCACAGCCAUGAAAACAGAUUAUUAGGACUGCACAACGCUGGACCCCUUCCUGAGAAUUGCGAUGCAAGUGCCAGGCAAUUCGCUAAAUUGAAAUCUGGCAAAAAAAUUUUCAGUAUUAAUGACGGUAACAACACUGUUAUGCUUAAAGAUGGAUCUCUUUGUGAGAUUUGUAACAUUCUAGAUAUAGGUGGUCAUCAGGUUCUCGUAGCUAGGAAGUUUAAUACUGUACAAAAUUUAUACAAUGUUGGCAGAUCAUCAUCGUCCGUAGGAAUUUUCAAAUGUACUAAUGUCUCGAGUGAUAUUGAAUUAGUGGCAGUGUCAGACGUCGCAGCAAAAUGUUAUCGUAUGCCGCUUUGGUCUGGUACUGGCACAAAUUCAAAUAGAGUUGUGGUUGUAAUUAUGACCCUGUUGCAUCAUGCUUGAGUUUUUUCGGAAGAUUUUCCAAGUAUUUCUACUUUCCUAUCCUAGAUUAUUAUGUAAAUUUCUUUCUUUCUUCGCAGUAUAAUUUUUCUUUUGUUUCAUGUGUUCAAUAACUGUGCAGUAAAAUGCAGAAGAAAUCAAUAACACUGAGCAGCCAAGGACGCAUUAUUCAAAAUGCCAGAGCGAUAUUGUACAACCGAGUCGUCCGCAGAUGAGAGAACUGCAGCUCCAAACCUACUAAAGAAGCGCGUAUCCAUGGAGCAACGCAUUGCGAUGAUGGCGAAUCAAAUUACUUCAAAAGACUCACAACAUUUUGAAUUGGCCAGUGAUCAUGAUGACUCUGAGGAAAUCAUCCCAAAUUCACAAUUACACUCGAGCAACUCUAUAACAUUUAGCGAUGUAGUACGACUAACCACAAGACGACAAAAUCACGUGGAAGAGCAAAAUAAUCAUAUUCCUUUGAAUUCACAUGGAGCAUCAGUGAAUCUACGUCCGGUCACUGUAUCAGGUACAGUUGAAGAAAAUCGUUACCACACACCGACUGUGUCUUCAGAGCAGACACUUGAGCGUAUUGCCCGAUCCACCAUUGACAGUUUGCAAGAUCUUCUUCAACAGCAUGAGGAGCGACAAAAGCAAUGCUUUCUAGACUUUGCAAUGAGAAUUCGAAAGGACCACCGUGAAGACAUGACCAAGCUUAACAACUAUGCAGAGAAUCGUUACCAGCAUUUCGAAACAGUUAUCAAACAAAUGAUUAAAAAAGAGCAGGAUAUUGAACGGGCGUACCCAUAUGAGAAGCCACCAGGGUUCCCUCUUGAUUCCUUGGAGGUAUUCCAAGAGUUUGAAGAAGAUCCUGAAAGACAACGAUCUCUAAGACACUAUCUUAUUAACGUUGGUAGUGUCACAGCUAGAGAUGCUCUCAACCAAUUUUUGAAGGAAGCCAUGACGGAUAGCCUCACACAAAAAUUCUCUUGGACUGGAAAGACUGUUUCAGAUAAAGAGAAUCUGCGACCGUUAUUUAAUACCUGUAUGGGAAAGAUGCCUUACGUGAGUGUCGAACAAUACCACAGCCACAUGAUCGUACAGAAUUUGCGAGACUGAUGCAAGAGGCAAUUCGGGGCGCAAAACAAAGAUUGCGGGAUGCAAAACGACGUGCUAAUCGCUCUGUCCACGUGGAGGGUCACAGACAAAAAUAUAUGGCUGAAAUGGCUAAUCGUUACGAGGUUGAACACCCAGGACAGUAACACUGCGGAAUAAGAGGCCUGCAAUUUGACUAUUAAAGUUCCUACGCGUAUUCAAACAUACGUACUCAUGUACUUUGUUUGACUAAGAAAUAUUUUAGUACGUAUAGCUGUGAUGUUAGUUUUUAUGUUUAUGCUCAAGCACAGUAUUUAUAAUUUUGACUGCAGCUGUGAUAUCCACCAGUGAUACGUAACUAUAUGUGUUCCAAAGAAACAUACCUAUAUCAACAAAUGCGGCGGGUUUGUACUAACAUAGCUAUAAAAUAGCUAAA